RNAcentral lists this ribosomal RNA (162 nucleotides) under Bremia lactucae (lettuce downy mildew). RNAcentral's name for it is "5.8S ribosomal RNA". The record is from RNAcentral. Lineage: Eukaryota; Oomycota; Peronosporomycetes; Peronosporales; Peronosporaceae.
UARCAACUUUCRGCAGUGGAUGUCUAGGCUCGCACAUCGAUGAAGAACGCUGCGAACUGCGAUACGUAAUGCGAAUUGCAGGAUUCAGUGAGUCAUCGAAAUUUUGAACGCAUAUUGCACUUCCGGGUUAGUCCUGGAAGUAUGCCUGUAUCAGUGUCCGUA